Molecule: ribosomal RNA, 468 nt
Filed under: uncultured bacterium
Lineage: Bacteria
Description: partial 16S ribosomal RNA
Rfam family: Bacterial small subunit ribosomal RNA
Source: RNAcentral
GACGAACGCUGGCGGCGUGCUUAACACAUGCAAGUCGAACGGAGAGGCCCUGCUUUUGUGGGGUGCUCGAGUGGCGAACGGGUGAGUAACACGUGAGUAACCUGCCCUUGACUUUGGGAUAACUUCAGGAAACUGGGGCUAAUACCGGAUAGGAGCUCCUGCUGCAUGGUGGGGGUUGGAAAGUUUCGGCGGUUGGGGAUGGACUCGCGGCUUAUCAGCUUGUUGGUGGGGUAGUGGCUUACCAAGGCUUUGACGGGUAGCCGGCCUGAGAGGGUGACCGGCCACAUUGGGACUGAGAUACGGCCCAGACUCCUACGGGAGGCAGCAGUGGGGAAUAUUGCAGAAUGGGCGGAAGCCUGAUGCAGCAACGCCGCGUGCGGGAUGACGGCCUUCGGGUUGUAAACCGCUUUCGCCUGUGACGAAGCGUGAGUGACGGUAAUGGGUAAAGAAGCACCGGCUAACUACGUG